CCCUCGAUAGCUCAGUUGGUAGAGCGGAGGACUGUAGAUCCUUAGGUCGCUGGUUCAAAUCCGGCUCGAGGGA
Molecule: non-coding RNA, 73 nt
Organism: Anneissia japonica
Lineage: Eukaryota; Metazoa; Echinodermata; Crinoidea; Comatulida; Comatulidae
Source: the annotation of a RefSeq genome assembly